GACGAACGCUGGCGGCGUGCUUAACACAUGCAAGUCGAGCGGUAAGGCCCUUUCGGGGGUACACGAGCGGCGAACGGGUGAGUAACACGUGGGUGACCUGCCCUCCACUCUGGGAUAAGCCCGGGAAACUGGGUCUAAUACCGGAUAGGACACAUGAUCGCAUGGUUGUGUGUGGAAAGUUUUUUCGGUGGGGGAUGGGCCCGCGGCCUAUCAGCUUGUUGGUGGGGUAAUGGCCUACCAAGGCGGUGACGGGUAGCCGGCCUGAGAGGGCGACCGGCCACACUGGGACUGAGACACGGCCCAGACUCCUACGGGAGGCAGCAGUGGGGAAUAUUGCGCAAUGGGCGGAAGCCUGACGCAGCGACGCCGCGUGGGGGAUGACGGCCUUCGGGUUGUAAACCUCUUUCGCCAGGGACGAAGCUUUUGUGACGGUACCUGGAGAAGAAGCACCGGCCAACUACGUGCCAGCCGCCGCAGUAA
RNAcentral lists this ribosomal RNA (480 nucleotides) under uncultured bacterium. Its description in RNAcentral is "partial 16S ribosomal RNA". It matches the Rfam family "Bacterial small subunit ribosomal RNA", at positions 28 to 523 of the family's 1533-position model. The record is from RNAcentral.